AAGUCGUAACAAGGUCUCCGUUGGUGAACCAGCGGAGGGAUCAUUAAAAGAAGCCGAAAGGCUACUUAUAACCAUCGUGAACUCGUCCAAGUUGCUUCGGCGGCGCGGAGCCCCCCGGGGCACCGCAGUCCGGCCUCUUCGGAGGCGCGGGGCAACCGCCGGAGGUACAAAACUCUCUGUAUUAUAGUGACACUUCUGAUUAAACAAACAAAUAAGUUAAAACUUUCAACAACGGAUCUCUUGGUUCUGGCAUCGAUGAAGAACGCAGCGAAAUGCGAUAAGUAAUGUGAAUUGCAGAAUUCAGUGAAUCAUCGAAUCUUUGAACGCACAUUGCGCCCGCUAGUACUCUAGCGGGCAUGCCUGUUCGAGCGUCAUUUCAACCCUCAAGCUCUGCUUGGUGUUGGGGCCCUACGGCUGCCGUAGGCCCUGAAAAGAAGUGGCGGGCUCGCUACAACUCCGAGCGUAGUAAUCUAUUAUCUCGCUAGGGAAGUGUGGCGUGCUCCUGCCGUUAAAGACCCCAUCUUUAACAAGGUUGACCUCGGAUCAGGUAGGAAUACCCGCUGAACUUAAGCAUAUCAAUAAGCGGAGGAAAAGAAACCAACAGGGAUUGCCCUAGUAACGGCGAGUGAAGCGGCAACAGCUCAAAUUUGAAAUCUGGCUUCGGCCCGAGUUGUAAUUUGUAGAGGAUGCUUUUGGUGAGGUGCCUUCUGAGUUCCCUGGAACGGGACGCCAGAGAGGGUGAGAGCCCCGUAUAGUCGGCCACCGAUCCUUUGUAAAGCUCCUUCGACGAGUCGAGUAGUUUGGGAAUGCUGCUCAAAAUGGGAGGUAUAUCUCUUCUAAAGCUAAAUACUGGCCAGAGACCGAUAGCGCACAAGUAGAGUGAUCGAAAGAUGAAAAGCACUUUGAAAAGAGGGUUAAAUAGCACGUGAAAUUGUUGAAAGGGAAGCGCUUGUGACCAGACUUGUGCCGGGCUGAUCAUCCAGUGUUCUCACUGGUGCACUCGACCCGGCUCAGGCCAGCGUCGGUUCUCGUAGGGGGAUAAAAGCUUCGGGAACGUGGCUCCUUCGGGAGUGUUAUAGCCCGCUGUUUAAUACCCCUGUGGGGACCGAGGUUCGCGCUCUGCAAGGACGCUGGCAUAAUGGUCAUCAGCGAC
This 1153-nucleotide ribosomal RNA is filed under the name uncultured fungus. RNAcentral's name for it is "eukaryotic LSU rRNA". The stretch from base 534 to 1153 matches the Rfam family "Eukaryotic large subunit ribosomal RNA", at positions 1 to 648 of the family's 3401-position model. Lineage: Eukaryota; Fungi. The record is from RNAcentral.